CUACGGGGUGCUCCAGUAAGGAAUAUUGCGCAAUGGAGGCAACUCUGACGCAGCCAUGCCGCGUGCAGGAAGAAGGCCUUAUGGGUCGUAAACUGCUUUUAUUUAGGAAUAAACCCCCGAACGUGUUCGGGGCUGAAGGUACUAAACGAAUAAGCACCGGCUAACUCCGUGCCAGCAGCCGCGGUAAUACGGAGGGUGCAAGCGUUAUCCGGAUUUAUUGGGUUUAAAGGGUGCGCAGGCGGGCUAUUAAGUCAGUGGUGAAAUCCCGGGGCUCAACUCCGGAACUGCCAUUGAUACUGAUAGUCUUGAGUUUGGUUGAAGUGGGCGGAAUGUAGCAUGUAGCGGUGAAAUGCAUAGAUAUGCUACAGAACACCAAUCGCGAAGGCAGCUCACUAAGCCAAAACUGACGCUCAUGCACGAAAGCGUGGGGAUCAAACAGGAUUAGAUACCCGCGUAGUC
This 459-nucleotide ribosomal RNA is filed under the name uncultured bacterium. RNAcentral describes it as "partial 16S ribosomal RNA". It matches the Rfam family "Bacterial small subunit ribosomal RNA", at positions 339 to 795 of the family's 1533-position model. The record is from RNAcentral.